GAGGCCGGCGUCGGCCCAUCGCCCCCGUGACCCGCGGACGUGGCCCCCACCGGCUCUUCCUUCAGUGGACGCUUCUCUGGCCUGCCGCGUGCAGCUGGCCCCCCGGAGAGCAGCGGGCGGGGUGCGCGGUCGCCUGUCUGGGCGCGGACAUGUGUCCCCAAGAACGGGAUCCAGGAGGACAAGCCCUUGUUCGCUUCUGCAGGGGCUGCCCCUCGGAACGCCUUUCGGCUUCUGAGAAACACGGUCGUGACUCCACAUCGUGUCCAGCCAGCCCUGCUGUGGCCGGCGCUGGCCGGGCCCGCCCUCCCCGCGGGUCUUCUGCGGCGCCCACCGGCCCCCUGGACUACCUGAUAAAGCCCGACCAUGGGGGGACUCGUAUUCCAGCGAACUCGCCUGUCUGGUGUUCCCCGCGGUUGCGCAACAUGGACACGGGCCUGCUGGCCCAGAGCAGAGUGCUGUGAGGCCACGGGGUGAGUGCCCUCCAGAUCUGGCUGAGCCGGUCACGCUGCGGAGCACGUGCACCUAGGAAGAGAGAUGUUUCGAGAGGCCACUCCGGGCCAACCAGGACCAGGCCAGGGGGACCAACAGUGACGGUCCCUGCCCUCCAGCUUUGGUCUGUUCAUCCCGGCAGAUGCUUUGGCCUACAGCUCCGCUCUGGUCCUGAGCCACAGGUAGAAGAGCAAGAAGUUCAUCGACAGAUGAGGAGGGCAGGAAAGCUCUCCGAGCCAGGGGUCCGAGUGGGCAGGCCAGACCUCGCGGUCUGGAGUUGCGGAGAACGGCCUAGCUAGUGACCCUGCUCUCUGUGCCCCAGGCACCCAGGCCAGGGCUGGGCACGCCAGGGCGUGGACUGAAGCCUCAGGAUGCGCUCGCUGGGCAGGCGGCUGCUCACUUACUGGGUGAUGUGGAAGUGGGACAGCUCCAGCCGCUGGUCAGCGCACUCGAUGAUCUCCUCGUAGGACAUCACCUGGAAGGACAAGCCGGGCGAUCGUAUGCCGCAGGGCUUGCUGUUCCCUUUGUAGGGCCCUCUGAGGGAAGCCCGUGACCUGGCUCCUGUGGGGGCUCCGCCAAGGCCCUGCCUCCUGUGUGGGAGCAGCGGUGGCAGCGGCAGCCCAGGCCCGCAGCGCCGACCUUAUUGUCCCACAUGAGCUGCGUGGUGGGGGCUCAGUCCUCGUGGGUAAUGUCGCCAGUGUUUAACAGAUACAUACACAAUCAUUUGGAACAGAAUGCCGAUUUUUAGUCAUUUAAAAAUGACAGACUUGACUUUUAAAAACAAAUUAUGUCGGUGAGUCUCUGUAGCACAGUGGGUCUAACUGGGUUGUAACUGUCUAGAAGCCCAGAUAUUUCCAUUUCCUUCUAACAUGUUUUCCUGUUUCAGUUUCCUUAUUCUUUCCUACAAUUGACAUAUAACACUGUGGAAGUUUAAGACACAGUGUGUUGAUCCGAUGCACUUAUUUAUCACACAAUGAUCACUGCGUGGCUUUAGGCAACACCCCCAAAGAGCCCCCCACGGUGGAUGGCACUGGCCCCAGCUGCCAUAGGACUGUGGCAGCCUGGGCGACUAUAUAAAUGUCUUCCCUUGCCAGGCAGCACACACCUUCUUAUUUCUGCAUUUUGAAAGAAAAAGUCUGGUCAGUAGGAACAAGCCAGGUGGGGCGGCAUCAAGUCUCCCAAGCUGGCAGCGCAAACUUAGCUCCACGCUCUGAGGAUGAAUGCCACGGCUAGACGCCCGGAGUGAGCUCAUUAACGAGCACAUAUUUUGAGUCAGACCUUGACUCUGUAGAGGGAACAGCACUGUGUGUGAGAAUGCUAGCAGAGCGACAGAAGAGCCUCUUACCAGGAAGUCAAGCUCUUCAUUUAGGUUGUGGUACUUGUCCAGUUUGGCCCCUAGCAGGACCGGGAUGUCGCUGGCACUGCUGGCCUCACCCAAAUCAAAGUCGGUAGUCUGAAAUUAAAGACAUUAAAAUAUAUAAUACAUCAGAUGGGAACAUACGUUAAGCAUGUUAUUUUACAGUAAAUACUAGUUUAAUUAGCAAAGGGCUCUUCAGUAGCUGAUGAAUAGGAAUGUGGAACUCAGCUAGGUAGAGUUCAAAAAUUUACCAAAGGAACAGAAAAAUCUGAAGUUGUGAUUUUGUAUUUGUUUUUAAAGAGAGUACCUAAAAAAUGUGACUAUCCUGGGACUUUUAUCCUUACGCUGUUGCUGGGACGCCACACUCUGACUGGAGUGUGUCUGGUAAACCAUCCCUGCGCCCCUGGGUGAGUCCCACUUGAUGACAAUGACAAGCCAGGGUGUCCCACUGCCCUGGAUUUGCAGUUUUGCUGAGGUGUUUGUGUCACAAGAAGAGGGCAGUAAACAGUGUCAAACUCACCUCAAUAACCUGGUCUUGAAAUGCUUUUUCAUUAGCAAUCAGCUCUCUAAAGGUUGUGAUUCUGUCUUUAUGUUUCAGUAGCUGGGGGAAAAGCACGUGAUCGUUCAGGUGAGGGCAGGAAAUAAACGCGUCAGUCACAUCUAAAACACCAUCCAUGAGCCAUGUCCAGCGACCUCCAGCCCCAGGAGCACACCCGUGCAGGAAGACCCCGCCGCAGGCCUGCGGCUGCCCCUCAAAGGUGGCCAGGCUGCCCUGUGGGCAUCUGGGAAUGGGUCACUGGGUCCAGCCAUGACAGUGUGUGCUGAGUGUGAAGGACCAGCAGGUCCUCAGCUGAGGCGGGCUUGGUGACACCAGGGCGUCAUCUCCCUGACCAUGGUUAGCUGUUUUCACAGCCAGUUAUUACAGUUCUUUAAAGGGGAAAAAAAAAACCAGCUUUUUCCAGAGGUUCAGUGUCAGGACUGGUGACGCCCUGGGGCUAGUGGUUGAAGAAGAUUAAAAACGUUUCAGUGAAGCUGAAAGGAGAAGGAAAACCCACAAAUGAAACCAUCCAACCUCUGCAAACCAAUGCCCACACUCAAGGAGGCCGGCGAGAGCAGCCAAGGAGCAAGUGAGGUCGGAGCAUCCUGGCAUUCUUCGGGCACAGGUUCAGACACGUCACAAGGAGGACAAAGAAUCCAGAGGCCUGUGUAAGUAAAAGGCUGGACAAAUGGCCCCUGUGACAGAUUCUGAUCACUGACACUCAAACUCUGGGAUUUCAGGACCCCCCGAUGCGCACGUGUGGUUUACGAGGGGUCUACCCCAGCAGCGUUCAGAGGACCAGAAAUAACAACUGAGAACAUUUAGGAAUCUGGUUGUGAAUUUCCUUAAAUAAUAGACCCAUUAUGUGUCACCAGGAAUUACACUUUUUUUUUUUAAUUGUAAAAUCACCACAUUUUCUAGAAUAAACUAUUAAAGAAAAGGGUAGCCAUGUUUUACAUUUUUGGGACAUGUUUUUAAUCCUGGCUCAAUGGGAGACAGCAGGAGUCUCAAACUUGCUUCACAUACUCCAUCGACCAUGAAAGCAAAUAUGUCAGCGUGUGCCUCGUAGUUUCUGGAAGACUCCACAGCACACUUAAUGAAAGAAUGAGAGUGGCAAAAGGCAUGACCUCUUAAUAUUAAUUAAAACACUUUCAACCUUGUAGAUACUCCCAGACCACGCUUUGAGAGCCAAUCAAAAGUAUAACUCAAAGUCGACUAACAUUGGAGGGUGAGGGGGCAGGUAUUAAAGAAAUUGAUUACUCAAGAUAAAGAACUUUUUAAAAGGAAUGCAAGGAAAUCAUUUCACUGUGCUAAAUGCAGUUAACCUACUGACUUCUGCAAGGAGCUGCAGAGGCGCAGGUGUGGGGCCCCCACCCCAGGUUCACUGCCACGGCCACAGGGCAGUCACGGGAGCCACAAAUGGCUGCCUUCCCUCCACGUGGGCAGGUGUGGACCACUUCCCCACACCUCUCUCCCCACUCUCUCACACUUUUUAAAAAAACGUAUCCUAGCUUUGUGCAGUGGCAGUAUCGUAGCCAAUGAGGUUUAUCCAAGGCGUGAUUAUUGCUAAUAAAAAGAACAUA
Talpa occidentalis (Iberian mole) is the source of this 3967-nucleotide long non-coding RNA. RefSeq lists it as uncharacterized. NCBI's taxonomy places the organism in Eukaryota, Metazoa, Chordata, Mammalia, Eulipotyphla, Talpidae. The transcript has 6 exons. The record is from RefSeq and is a predicted model, not a curated record.